AGUGUUUCAUUUUUCUCAACUUUUGUAUUUCUUUUAGAAAAAGAAUUUCUACAACGCUUGUUAAAAAGACAAAAUGAGUGACCGUGAGUCUCUGAUUAAGCUGAAAAUAUCAUGUGUUGUUUGUGCCAUUUGUGCAGUUGCCUUUCUGUUAAAUUCUGUUAUUGAAAGCUGCUUUCAAUUUUGGUUGUGGCCUUAUGAUCGCAGUCAUCUAUCCUGUUCUUUUGCAAAGUCACAUAUCAAGCUUGGUUUCUCUUUAUCUAAUUUUUUUUCUUACUUUGUUUUUUGUUUCCAACUAUAGCUGCAGCUGAAAAGAAGGAAGAGAAAUAUCCUCAUGAGGAGGAAGGAUCAGGAUCAGGAUCAGAGGGAGAAGGAUCAGGAGGAGAAGGAAAAGGAAAGGGGAAAGGGAAAAAGCAUGGAAAAGGAGGUGAACAUGGACAUGGAGGUGGAAGAGGAGGUGGACAAGGAAGAGGAGGCGGACAAGGAAGAGGGGGCGGACAAGUUCCUAAAUAAAUUAUGAAGAAUUCACUGAAUCAGCAUUAUCUGAUGACUGCAAAAUGACAGAUAUAUCUCUAAUAAACUAAUACAGAAAGAA
Molecule: long non-coding RNA, 592 nt
Organism: Haplochromis burtoni (Burton's mouthbrooder)
Lineage: Eukaryota; Metazoa; Chordata; Actinopteri; Cichliformes; Cichlidae
Exons: 4
Source: RefSeq, a predicted model, not a curated record